AGAGUUUGAUCAUGGCUCAGGAUGAACGCUAGCGGCAGGCUUAACACAUGCAAGUCGAGGGGUAACAGGGAUUGCUUGCAAUCCGCUGACGACCGGCGCACGGGUGCGUAACGCGUAUGCAACCUACCUUCUACAGGGGGAUAGUCAAUAGAAAUGUUGAAUAAUACCCCAUACGAUCUUUGAAUAGCAUUAUUUAAAGAAGAAAGUUCCGACGGUAGAAGAUGGGCAUGCGUCCUAUUAGUUAGUUGGAGAGGUAACGGCUCCCCAAGACAUCGAUAGGUAGGGGUCCUGAGAGGGAGACCCCCCACACUGGUACCGAGACACGGACCAGACUCCUACGGGAGGCAGCAGUGAGGAAUAUUGGACAAUGGAGGCAACUCUGAUCCAGCCAUGCCGCGUGCAGGAAGACUGCCCUAUGGGUUGUAAACUGCUUUUAUACAGGAAGAAAUGUACCUACGUGUAGGUAUUUGACGGUACUGUACGAAUAAGGAUCGGCUAACUCCGUGCCAGCAGCCGCGGUAAUACGGAGGAUCCAAGCGUUAUCCGGAAUCAUUGGGUUUAAAGGGUCCGUAGGCGGUCUUUUAAGUCAGAGGUGAAAUCCUACAGCUCAACUGUAGAAUUGCCUUUGAUACUGAAGGACUUGAGUUAUU
RNAcentral lists this ribosomal RNA (650 nucleotides) under uncultured bacterium. Its description in RNAcentral is "bacterial SSU rRNA". It matches the Rfam family "Bacterial small subunit ribosomal RNA", at positions 8 to 651 of the family's 1533-position model. The record is from RNAcentral.